This 497-nucleotide ribosomal RNA is filed under the name uncultured bacterium. RNAcentral's name for it is "partial 16S ribosomal RNA". It matches the Rfam family "Bacterial small subunit ribosomal RNA", at positions 28 to 507 of the family's 1533-position model. The record is from RNAcentral.
GAUGAACGCUGGCGGCGUGCCUAAUACAUGCAAGUCGAGCGAACGGACGAGGAGCUUGCUGCUCUGACGUUAGCGGCGGACGGGUGAGUAACACGUGGAUAACCUACCUAUAAGACUGGGAUAACUUCGGGAAACCGGAGCUAAUACCGGAUAAUAUUUUGAACCGCAUGAUUCAAUAGUGAAAGACGGUUUUGCUGUCACUUAUAGAUGGAUCCGCGCUGCAUUAGCUAGUUGGUAAGGUAACGGCUUACCAAGGCAACGAUGCGUAGACGACCUGAGAGGGUGAUCGGCCACACUGGAACUGAGACACGGUCCAGACUCCUACGGGAGGCAGCAGUAGGGAAUCUGCCGCAAUGGGCGGAAGCCUGACGGAGCAACGCCGCGUGAGUGAUGAAGGUCUUCGGAUCGUAAAACUCUGUUAUUAGGGAAGAACAGAUGUGUAAGUAACUGUGCACAUCUUGACGGUACCUAAUCAGAAAGCCACGGCUAACUACGUG